Molecule: ribosomal RNA, 1477 nt
Filed under: metagenome
Description: bacterial SSU rRNA
Rfam family: Bacterial small subunit ribosomal RNA
Source: RNAcentral
AGAGUUUGAUCCUGGCUCAGGAUGAACGCUAGCGGCAGGCCUAACACAUGCAAGUCGAACGGUAAGGUCCUUUCGGGGAUACACGAGUGGCGCACGGGUGAGUAACGCGUAUGCAACCUACCUUUAACUGGGGGAUAGCUUCGAGAAAUCGGGAUUAAUACCCCAUAGUAUUCCUUUAACAUAUGUUUUAGGAAUUAAAGCUCCGGCGGUUUUAGAUGGGCAUGCGUGACAUUAGCUUGUUGGUGAGGUAACGGCUCACCAAGGCAACAAUGCCUAGGGGGUCUGAGAGGAUGGUCCCCCACACUGGUACUGAGACACGGACCAGUCUUCUACGGGAGGCAGCAGUGAGGAAUAUUGGUCAAUGGGCGCAAGCCUGAACCAGCCAUGCCGCGUGCAGGAUGAAUGCCCUACGGGUUGUAACCUGCUUUUAUACAGGAAGAACUCCUCCGACGUGUCGGGGGCUGACGGUACUGUAUGAAUAAGGAUCGGCUAACUCCGGGCCAGCAGCCGCGGUAAUACGGAGGAUCCAAGUGUUAUCCGGAUUUAUUGGGUUUAAAGGGUGCGUAGGCGGAAUAAUAAGUCAGUGGUGAAAUCCUGCAGCUUAACUGUAGAACGGCCAUUGAUACUGUUAUUCUUGAGUACAGUUGAAGUGGGUGGAAUGUGUCAUGUAGCGGUGAAAUGCUUAGAGAUGACACAGAACACCAAUUGCGUAGGCAGCUCACUAGACUGUUACUGACGCUGAGGCACGAAAGCGUGGGGAGCGAACAGGAUUAGAUACCCUGGUAGUCCACGCUGUAAACUAUGAUUACUCGAUGUAUGCGAUACAUUGUAUGCGUCUGAGCGAAAGCAUUAAGUAAUCCACCUGGGGAGUACGAUCGCAAGAUUGAAACUCAAAGGAAUUGACGGGGGCCCGCACAAGCGGAGGAACAUGUGGUUUAAUUCGAUGAUACGCGAGGAACCUUACCUGGGCUUAAAUGCAGACUGAUUUUUCUCGAAAGAGAUCUUCCCUUCGGGGCAGACUGCAAGGUGCUGCAUGGUUGUCGUCAGCUCGUGCCGUGAGGUGUCGGGUUAAUCCCAUAACGAGCGCAACCCUUGUCAUUAGUUGCCAGCGGGUAAUGCCGGGGACUCUAAUGAGACUGCCAGUGUAAACUGUGAGGAAGGUGGGGAUGACGUCAAAUCAGCACGGCCCUUAUGUCCAGGGCUACACACGUGUUACAAUGGCCGGUACAAAGGGCAGCUACCUGGUGACAGGAUGCUAAUCUCGAAAACCGGUCUCAGUUCGGAUCGAAGUCUGCAACCCGACUUCGUGAAGCUGGAUUCGCUAGUAAUCGCACAUCAGCCAUGGUGCGGUGAAUACGUUCCCGGGCCUUGUACACACCGCCCGUCAAGCCAUGGAAGCCGGGGGUGCCUGAAGUCCGUAACCGUAAGGAGCGGCCUAGGGUAAAACCGGUAACUGGGGCUAAGUCGGAACAAGAUA